GCCGGGCGGGGUGGCACGUGCCUGUAGUCCCAGCUACCCAGAGGCUGAGGUGGGAGGAUCUCUUGAGCCCAGGAGUUCUGGGCUGUAGUACGCUAUGCCGAUCAGGUAUCUGCACUAAGUUUGGCAUCAAUACAGUGACCUCCCGGGAGCGGGGGACCACCAGGUUGCCUAAGGAGGGGUGAACCGGCCCAGAUUGGAAACGGAGCAGGUCAAAAACUGCCGUGCUGAUCAGUAGUGGGAUCGCACCUGUGAAAAGCCACUGCACUCCAGCCUAGGCAACAUAGCGAGACCCCGCCUCUU
RNAcentral lists this signal recognition particle RNA (300 nucleotides) under Callithrix jacchus (white-tufted-ear marmoset). Its description in RNAcentral is "Metazoan signal recognition particle RNA (ENSCJAG00000054116.2)". It matches the Rfam family "Metazoan signal recognition particle RNA". From Rfam's summary of the family: The signal recognition particle (SRP) is a universally conserved ribonucleoprotein. Lineage: Eukaryota; Metazoa; Chordata; Mammalia; Primates; Cebidae. The record is from Rfam by way of RNAcentral.